Molecule: transfer RNA, 73 nt
Organism: Devosia epidermidihirudinis
Lineage: Bacteria; Pseudomonadati; Pseudomonadota; Alphaproteobacteria; Hyphomicrobiales; Devosiaceae
Rfam family: tRNA
About the family: Transfer RNA (tRNA) molecules are approximately 80 nucleotides in length. Their secondary structure includes four short double-helical elements and three loops (D, anti-codon, and T loops). Further hydrogen bonds mediate the characteristic L-shaped molecular structure. tRNAs have two regions of fundamental functional importance: the anti-codon, which is responsible for specific mRNA codon recognition, and the 3' end, to which the tRNAs corresponding amino acid is attached (by aminoacyl-tRNA synthetases). tRNAs cope with the degeneracy of the genetic code in two manners: having more than one tRNA (with a specific anti-codon) for a particular amino acid; and 'wobble' base-pairing, i.e. permitting non-standard base-pairing at the 3rd anti-codon position.
Source: Rfam
GGGGCCUUAGCUCAGCUGGGAGAGCGCUUGCAUGGCAUGCAAGAGGUCAGCGGUUCGAUCCCGCUAGGCUCCA